CACCGCCCGUCACACCAUGGGAUGGGGGUUCACCAGAAAGCCGGUUGCCUAACCUCGCAAGAGGGGGGCGCUGACCACGGUGAGCUUCAUGACUGGGGUG
Molecule: ribosomal RNA, 100 nt
Filed under: uncultured bacterium
Lineage: Bacteria
Description: partial 16S ribosomal RNA
Source: RNAcentral